Molecule: transfer RNA, 73 nt
Filed under: Nitrosospira multiformis
Lineage: Bacteria; Pseudomonadati; Pseudomonadota; Betaproteobacteria; Nitrosomonadales; Nitrosomonadaceae
Also listed under: 3 other names
Description: tRNA_Lys_CTT
Rfam family: tRNA
About the family: Transfer RNA (tRNA) molecules are approximately 80 nucleotides in length. Their secondary structure includes four short double-helical elements and three loops (D, anti-codon, and T loops).
Source: RNAcentral
GGGUCGUUAGCUCAGCUGGUAGAGCAGCGGACUCUUAAUCCGUAGGUCGAGCGUUCGAAUCGCUCACGACCCA